This 342-nucleotide ribosomal RNA is filed under the name uncultured bacterium. Its description in RNAcentral is "bacterial SSU rRNA". It matches the Rfam family "Bacterial small subunit ribosomal RNA", at positions 132 to 507 of the family's 1533-position model. The record is from RNAcentral.
UUCGGUUCGGAAUAACAGUUAGAAAUGACUGCUAAUACCGGAUGAUGACGUAAGUCCAAAGAUUAUCGCCGAAGGAUGAGCCCGCGUAGGAUUAGGUAGUUGGUAGGGUAAUGGCCUACCAAGCCGACGAUCCUUAGCUGGUCUGAGAGGAUGAUCAGCCACACUGGGACUGAGACACGGCCCAGACUCCUACGGGAGGCAGCAGUGGGGAAGUAUUGGACAAUGAGCGAAAGCCUGAUCCAGCAAUGCCGCGUGAGUGAUGAAGGCCUUAGGGUUGUAAAGCUCUUUUACCUAGGGAUGAUAAUGACAGUACCUGGAGAAUAAGCUCCGGCUAACUCCGUG